UUGGCAACGAGGGUAGUCGUGUACAUCGCCUUGUUCUUAGGCUUCGUCCUGACCUUGGGCAUGACCCUGCUACGCCACGUUUGGGGGUACAUGUACAACAACGAGCAAGAGGUCGUGGCAUACAUUGCCAAGAUGCUGCCAGUUCUUGGGAUAUCUUUCUUCAUAGACGGCCUUCACGGAUCUCUCUCGGGUGUGCUCACGGGCUGCGGCAAGCAAAAGAUCGGCGCCACGGUGAACCUCGGCGCGUUCUACCUGGCAGGCAUCCCUAUGGCGGUGCUGCUAGCAUUUGUCUUCCAUCUCAAUGGAAUGGGCCUUUGGCUCGGCAUCGUCUGUGGCAGCCUCAUCAAAGUGCUCUUGUUUGCAUCUGUCACAUGGACCAUAGACUGGAGCAUGGAAGUAAGUAGAGAACACUGA
RNAcentral lists this ribosomal RNA (414 nucleotides) under Triticum aestivum (bread wheat). RNAcentral describes it as "partial small subunit ribosomal RNA". Lineage: Eukaryota; Viridiplantae; Streptophyta; Magnoliopsida; Poales; Poaceae. The record is from RNAcentral.